Non-coding RNA from Physcomitrium patens, 1116 nucleotides. Lineage: Eukaryota; Viridiplantae; Streptophyta; Bryopsida; Funariales; Funariaceae. The record is from RefSeq and is a predicted model, not a curated record.
GGAUGCUUUUCCCGCUGCGUUUUAGGCUGAUGUUACGAUUCCUGACGCCGCACAAUUUCCAGGUCGGUGGUUCAAUUUGCCGAGGGCUGGCUCAGCUCCGCGACGUGCUCCCAUUUCAUUCUAUUUGAGGCUGGGCUUUGUCUGCGCUCAUGCCGGCCUUUCCAGCUCCGAAGAGGCACCUUUGAAGCAGCAGAGAUCGGCAGCAGGAUGACGGUCUUUGGGAUCAAUGACAUUGUCGCUGUGAUCGAGGACAUUCAUUUGAAUCAAUGGCUGUGCUGGAUUGAGGAAAUUGAGCCUCCCGUCAGGUCACCAUCGACCGCCUCGAUUCUACAAGAUUCCAGUGCUCAGCUUCAAGCCCGAGUAUUUCCAUUCACCACUUCGUUAAAGGAAUAAAUGCUUGUUACAAGGACAGGAUAUGAAUGUUUUUUCGAGGUUGAACUUUGUCACUCCUGAUCGCAUGCUCUUUACUCUAAUUGCGCUCCGUUCUGGAUUGAUCAGCGUCGUCCAGAAUUCGCGAUUUCGUUUAGCAACAACCAAGUGCUCGUCUGCAAGUACUUAUGUACUGCACCGUUGAUCUGUUAGUGACCAUGUCCAGUCAGAAUAACUAGAGGGGUGAGAUACGCGAUGAACCGUAUUCUAUUCUUUCUGAGUCCAAAUCUGAAUGGAAAACGUCAAUGAAGAACAGGGGCUCUUCAGUGGCUGGACCUAAUUGCUUGCGUCACACAAGCCAAGCAAGCACGGGACUGUCGGCUCCAACACAAUUUGCAAAAAAGACAAUGGACAUUAUAGAUCUUUGAGCUACAGGCUCACAUUCAUUCAACCACAUAAACUGAGCGCGGUAGAGAGCACAAUUAAGAAGAGGGGUGGCGUUUGCAGAAAUUGCAGGCUGGAUUGUGCGCUGCCAACCAGUUUCAACCCCCUUCGUUUUGAGUCCGCAAGAUCUAAACGCAGAUUAGGGCUGAAUAAUAUUUCAGGUUGAGGACAUCCACUGGAAUAUUGCAAAUGGGACACAUACAUGAAAUCUCUUAGAGAUACGUAUUUGGGUAAUACUUACUAUCAAACAAUAGUAAGGAAGUGGCAUUUAAUUUAAGAGGUUUGUUUAUUUCAAAACUUUAA